UCCUCUUCUCUCUCUUCACUCCCAUUCCUUCUUUUGUCUCAUUCUUCGCUAAAAUAACCCGAAACCCUAAUCCCCUAGUCCCGACGGCGGCGUUAUCUUGCCUGGUAGCCACAAAAUCUCAAUCCCCUCUAAUCAAAUCCCUGUUAACCCAAAAUCAUGACAACAAAAUCAAGAACAACAACCUUAAGCUAAGUUUCAAAAAAAUACCUCGUCGUGCUUCUUUGAGUCUUCGAUUUUGGGUUCUGGUCCUUUCUCCUUUGUGUGUGUUCGUAGGUGACGGUGGUGAUGGUGACGAUGGCAGCGGCUCGGCAGUGCAUUGA
Molecule: non-coding RNA, 320 nt
Organism: Vicia faba (fava bean)
Lineage: Eukaryota; Viridiplantae; Streptophyta; Magnoliopsida; Fabales; Fabaceae
Source: the annotation of a GenBank genome assembly